CGGACGGGUGAGUAAUGUCUGGGAAACUGCCCGAUGGAGGGGGAUAACUACUGGAAACGGUAGCUAAUACCGCAUAACGUCGCAAGACCAAAGAGGGGGAACUUCGGGCCUCUUGCCAUCGGAUGUGCCCAGAUGGGAUUAGCUAGUAGGUGGGGUAACGGCUCACCUAGGCGACGAUCCCUAGCUGGUCUGAGAGGAUGACCAGCCACACUGGAACUGAGACACGGUCCAG
Molecule: ribosomal RNA, 232 nt
Filed under: uncultured bacterium
Lineage: Bacteria
Description: partial 16S ribosomal RNA
Rfam family: Bacterial small subunit ribosomal RNA
Source: RNAcentral